GACGAACCGAGCGAACGUUAUUCGGAAUCACUGGGCUUAAAGGGCGCGUAGGCGGGCGGUCAAGUCAGGGGUGAAAGCCUCCAGCUCAACUGGAGAAGUGCCUUUGAUACUGGCCGCCUCGAGGGAGGUAGGGGCGUGCGGAACUUCCGGUGGAGCGGUGAAAUGCGUAGAUAUCGGAAGGAACACCGGUGGCGAAAGCGGCGCGCUGGACCUCUUCUGACGCUGAGGCGCGAAAGCCAGGGGAGCAAACGGG
Molecule: ribosomal RNA, 253 nt
Filed under: uncultured bacterium
Lineage: Bacteria
Description: partial 16S ribosomal RNA
Rfam family: Bacterial small subunit ribosomal RNA
Source: RNAcentral